Molecule: ribosomal RNA, 429 nt
Filed under: Bacteroidota bacterium
Lineage: Bacteria; Pseudomonadati; Bacteroidota
Description: Bacteroidetes bacterium partial 16S ribosomal RNA
Rfam family: Bacterial small subunit ribosomal RNA
Source: RNAcentral
UAGGGAAUCUUCGGCAAUGGGGGGAACCCUGACCGAGCAACGCCGCGUGAGUGAAGAAGGUUUUCGGAUCGUAAAGCUCUGUUGUUAAGGAAGAACGAGUGUGAGAAUGGAAAGUUCAUGCUGUGACGGUACUUAACCAGAAAGGGACGGCUAACUACGUGCCAUCAGCCGCGUUAAUACGUACGUCCCGAGCGUUGUCCGGAUUUAUUGGGCGUAAAGCGAGCGCAGGCGGUUAGAAAAGUCUGAAGUGAAAGGCAGUGGCUCAACCAUUGUAGGCUUUGGAAACUGUUUAACUUGAGUGCAGAAGGGGAGAGUGGAAUUCCAUGUGUAGCGGUGAAAUGCGUAGAUAUAUGGAGGAACACCGGUGGCGAAAGCGGCUCUCUGGUCUGUAACUGACGCUGAGGCUCGAAAGCGUGGGGAGCGAACAGG